AAUUUGCAUUAUUGCUUAGGUGAAGGAGCCAGGGAACCGUGUGCAAAUCAUGGGCUGUCGCGCAACUGUAACUACCUCUUCAAGCCAAUGUCCUCGUGGUCCACUGCUCAGGCGGGAAGGACGACAAAGGCGGUAGAAGCCAGGAGACCUACCGGAACCUCAGCGUUUAC
RNAcentral lists this non-coding RNA (170 nucleotides) under Leadbetterella byssophila. The record is from RNAcentral. Lineage: Bacteria; Pseudomonadati; Bacteroidota; Cytophagia; Cytophagales; Leadbetterellaceae. RNAcentral also lists the same sequence under 1 other name.